CAAAAUUGGGCCCUCACAAUACAGUGCAUAGAUUGACUACAUCAAGAGUAUUAGUUCAUGAAGAACAGGUGAGUGGAGGUGAAAGGCUCAGCAGCAAGAACCACUAGAGCAGCAGGGGCGGCAGCAGGUGGACACACAGCAGCUGGGGCGGCAGCACUGAGUUCUACAGCAGGUGGUCUGGCAGCAGAUGGGCCUGCAGCAGCUGGAGAUGCAGCAGGUGGGGUGGCAGCAGGCGG
Oryctolagus cuniculus (rabbit) is the source of this 236-nucleotide non-coding RNA. Lineage: Eukaryota; Metazoa; Chordata; Mammalia; Lagomorpha; Leporidae. The record is from RefSeq and is a predicted model, not a curated record.